CGGAUGAACGCUGGCGGCGUGCUUAAUACAUGCAAGUCGAACGAUAAGGUCUCUUCGGAGAUACAUAAGUGGCGGACGGGUGAGUAACACGUAGGAAAUCUGCCUCAAGGAGGGGGAUAACACCGGGAAACUGGUGCUAAUACCCCAUAUGUCAUAGAUUGAAAUAUCUAUGAUGAAAGUUCCGGCGCCUUGAGAUGAGCCUGCGUCUGAUUAGCUAGUUGGUGGGGUAAUUGCCUACCAAGGCGACGAUCAGUAGCUGGUCUGAGAGGAUGAUCAGCCACAAUGGGACUGAGACACGGCCCAUACUCCUACGGGAGGCAGCAGUAGGGAAUUUUGCGCAAUGGGCGAAAGCCUGACGCAGCAACACCGCGUGAGGGAUGAAGUUCUUUGGAGCGUAAACCUCUGUCAGUGGGGACGAAUUUUGACGGUACCCACAAAGGAAGCAUCGGCUAACUACGUG
Molecule: ribosomal RNA, 460 nt
Filed under: uncultured bacterium
Lineage: Bacteria
Description: bacterial SSU rRNA
Rfam family: Bacterial small subunit ribosomal RNA
Source: RNAcentral